CGCAGAGAAUAGGCCCAAGCAACUGUUUAUCAAAAACACAGGUCUCUGCUAAAUCGAAAGAUGACGUAUAGGGGCUGACGCCUGCCCGGUGCUGGAAGGUUACGGGGAUUUGUUAACCGCAAGGUAAAGCAAUGAACUUAAGCCCCAGUAAACGGCGGCCGUAACUAUAACGGUCCUAAGGUAGCGAAAUUCCUUGUCAGGUAAGUUCUGACCCGCACGAAUGGCGUAAUGACUUGGGCACUGUCUCAACAACGUACCCGGCGAAAUUGUAGUACUUGUGAAGAUGCAAGUUACCCGCGACUAGACGGAAAGACCCCAUGGAGCUUUACUGUAGCCUGAUACUGGGUUUCGGUAUUCUUUGUACAGGAUAGGUGGGAGACGGAGAAAUGUAGGCGCCAGCUUACAUAGAGUCGACGUUGGGAUACCACUCUAAGAGUACUGGAACUCUAACCAGAGUCUGUGAACCAGACUUGGGACACUGUCAGGUGGGCAGUUUGACUGGGGCGGUCGCCUCCCAAAGAGUAACGGAGGCGUUCAAAGGUUACCUCAGCGCGGUUGGAAAUCGCGCAACGAGUGCAAAGGCAUAAGGUAGCCUGACUGCGAGAGAAACACCUCGAGCAGGUACGAAAGUAGGACUUAGUGAUCCGGUGGUAUGAAAGUGGAAUUGCCAUCGCUCAACGGAUAAAAGCUACCCUGGGGAUAACAGGCUUAUCUCCCCCAAGAGUCCACAUCGACGGGGAGGUUUGGCACCUCGAUGUCGGCUCAUCGCAUCCUGGAGCUGUAGUAGGUUCCAAGGGUUUGGCUGUUCGCCAAUUAAAGCGGUACGCGAGCUGGGUUCAGAACGUCGUGAGACAGUUCGGUCCCUAUCUGUCGCGGGCGCAGGAUAUUUGAGGGGAUCUGUCCUUAGUACGAGAGGACCGGGAUGGACUGACCUCUGGUGUACCAGUUGUCUUACCAAAGGCACAGCUGGGUAGCCAAGUCGGGCAUAGAUAAACGCUGAAAGCAUCUAAGCGUGAAACUAACCCCAAGAUGAGAUAUCCCACGUCUGGAGGUUAGAGGUUAGAAGUGAGAAGUUAGUAAUGCUGCGAAGUGUUACAAAAAUCCAACCUCCAAUAUCUAAUUUCUAACUUCCAGACGGUAAGACCCCAUGUAGACUACAUGGUUGAUAGGCCAGGUGUGUAAGUGCAGUAAUGCAUUGAGCUAACUGGUACUAAUAGGUCGAGGGCUUGACCAAG
The sequence is a ribosomal RNA, 1235 nucleotides long. It matches the Rfam family "Bacterial large subunit ribosomal RNA", at positions 1778 to 2925 of the family's 2925-position model.